This 66-nucleotide transfer RNA is filed under the name Podarcis lilfordi (Lilford's wall lizard). Its description in RNAcentral is "tRNA.Lys". The stretch from base 3 to 60 matches the Rfam family "tRNA", at positions 8 to 63 of the family's 71-position model. Rfam says of the family: Transfer RNA (tRNA) molecules are approximately 80 nucleotides in length. The record is from RNAcentral. Lineage: Eukaryota; Metazoa; Chordata; Lepidosauria; Squamata; Lacertidae.
GAUAGCUCAGUUGGUAAAGCAUGAGACUCUUCAUCUCAGAGUCGUGGGUCCAAGCCCCAUGUUGCA